This 253-nucleotide ribosomal RNA is filed under the name uncultured bacterium. RNAcentral's name for it is "partial 16S ribosomal RNA". It matches the Rfam family "Bacterial small subunit ribosomal RNA", at positions 524 to 776 of the family's 1533-position model. The record is from RNAcentral.
CACGGAGGGUGCAAGCGUUAUUCGGAAUCACUGGGCGUAAAGAGCGCGUAGGCGGUCUCUUAAGUCAGAUGUGAAAGCCCGGGGCUUAACCCCGGAAGUGCAUUUGAAACUAAGGGGCUUGAGUAUGGGAGAGGGAAGUGGAAUUCCUGGUGUAGCGGUGAAAUGCGUAGAUAUCAGGAGGAACACCGGUGGCGAUGGCGACUUCCUGGACCAAUACUGACGCUGAGGCGCGAAGGCGUGGGGAGCAAACAGG